Molecule: small nuclear RNA, 99 nt
Organism: Nomascus leucogenys (northern white-cheeked gibbon)
Lineage: Eukaryota; Metazoa; Chordata; Mammalia; Primates; Hylobatidae
Source: Ensembl
GUGUUCGCCUUGGCAGUACAUAUACUAAAGUUAAAAUGAUACAGAGAUUAGCGUGGCCCCUGUGCAAGGAUGACAAGUUCUAAAAAUUUAUUAAUAUUU